This 273-nucleotide ribosomal RNA is filed under the name uncultured prokaryote. RNAcentral describes it as "partial 16S ribosomal RNA". It matches the Rfam family "Bacterial small subunit ribosomal RNA", at positions 524 to 796 of the family's 1533-position model. The record is from RNAcentral.
UACGUAGGGAGCGAGCGUUGUCCGGAUUUAUUGGGCGUAAAGAGCGCGUAGGCGGCCGGGUAAGUCGGGUGUGAAAACUCCAAGCUCAACUUGGAGCGGCCACUCGAUACUGCUCUGGCUAGAGUCUGGUAGGGGAUCACGGAAUUCCUGGUGUAGCGGUGAAAUGCUUAGAUAUCAGGAGGAACACCGGUGGCGAAGGCGGUGAUCUGGGCCAGUACUGACGCUGAGGCGCGAAAGCGUGGGGAGCGAACAGGAUUAGAAACCCUGUAGUCC